UUCCAUCCUCACAUCACAACCCUGAGGAGUGAGACCCACUAAUCUUUUUAUUUGCUACUCUAUCUUGUUUGACGGUGGAGUAAAAAGACUAGCAUAGUCACAAAAAAAUCUCUGCAUAGCUGAACAAAAAAAUUUAGGAACUCUAGUUGUAACUGAUUUUUGUCUUGCAAUGAGCAUGAAUCAUAGCCGCAACUUCCAUAAUUUCAUCGAGCUCGUUGAAAGAGGCUCAGGACGGAUUAGAGAGACGCUUGAUUACUUUGUUGGUUGUUUAGGACCUUGGUUUUACAGGAAUUAUGAGGAGAUCCGUAUCUGGUGUGAGAAAAACGCGGCUGUAUGUCUGGCAUUUAUAUUUCAGCUAGCAAUCGUAGUUAUAAAUAGCUUUCUUUUAGGGGAUGAAGUGGUUGUUCCGAGAUGGAAAGCUAGCUGGGUAGCAGGGAUGUCAAUAUUUGCCAUUAUCUUUCUUAUUUUAAAGAUUUUUGUGGAGAUAAAAAGAUUCAAGUUAACUCGGUGGAACAAUAAAGAGAUAUGGGUUUUCAUUACAACACAUGUUUUACAGUUUUUAAUUCCGCUGUUAUAUUUAUUACUAGCGUAUGCUUAUUUGACGGGGCUUGAUACAAGUAGUCAUCACAUGGAAAGUAACUGGAAAGUGAUUGCAUCUGGUAUAAAAGCUUGCAUCAAUGUAAUAGGAAGCCUGCUAUCCUUAAUUGGUGCAAUAUAUUAUUGGACACCAGAUGACCACCAAAGUAUUGCGUUUCCAGCAAAUGUUGGUAAUUCUACCGUUGUCGAUGAAGAUGUAUUACAAGCAGUUGUACCUGUAGAUGCGGACAAUCAACUUAUUUCAUAUGCAAAGGUAGAAGUGUUGGUACAAAGGGAUGAGGAGAAUAAACCGGUUCGAGUGGAGAGUCCACAUGUUGCAUAUACGGAUUCGGAAGUGGUAAAGAUGCCUAUGGAUCGACCUUUUGAGGCUGCAAAUUCGGAAGUGCUGGUACAGAGGAAUGUUAAUCGAGUUGUUGCACAUGUAUCGCAAGCUGCGGUCCAAAGCAAUGUGAAGAAUCAACCUACUGCAGAUGCAAAUUUGGAUAUGGUGAUACAAGGGAGUGUGGAGAAUCGGCCUGGUGCAGAUGUUUUGGAAAAUCAACCUUGUACAGUGCGGGAUGUGGAGAAUCAACCCAGUACAGUGGGGAGUGUGGAGAAUCAACCCUGUACAGUGGGGAGUGUGGAGAAUCAACCCUCUAGAAUUGUGAAUCUGGAAGUGGCGGUAAAGAGAGAUAGGGCGGACCGACAUUUUGAAAAUGCAUCGGAGGUGGUGGAACAGAGGAAUGUGGACAAUGAAGCUGUUGCAUAUGCAAAUUUACUAGCGGUGGUUCAUAUACAUGUGGAAAAUCCACCUGUUGCGUAUGCAAAUUCGGAAGUGGUGAUGAAGGAUAAACCUGGUGGGAGUGUAUGAGAAGCAGGGGCACAAAGGGAUUCAGAAUUAGAGGAAGAGAGGGGUGUGGAGACUGGAGAAUCAACCUGUUGCAAAUGUACCCGAAGUGGUGUAGAGAAUAAAACCAUUGUUGAUGCAAAUUGGUUCCUACUUCAGAGGAGGUUUAGUACAUUUAUACACUAUAUCCACAGCCAAAAAAGCAAAACCAAUAAAAUUUCCAAUUGCCAUGAGAAAUAAACCAUAAGAUAUGUUUUCUGGGUUGUAGAGGAAGAGGAGGCGACAGCAAUGAAUGUCGGUGAUUAAUAGAAAAGAAGCUAGAGCUAACAACGCAGCAUAUCU
Daucus carota subsp. sativus is the source of this 1765-nucleotide RNA transcript. RefSeq lists it as uncharacterized. The record is from RefSeq and is a predicted model, not a curated record. Lineage: Eukaryota; Viridiplantae; Streptophyta; Magnoliopsida; Apiales; Apiaceae. The transcript is spliced from 4 exons.